This 492-nucleotide ribosomal RNA is filed under the name Triticum aestivum (bread wheat). RNAcentral's name for it is "partial small subunit ribosomal RNA". The record is from RNAcentral. Lineage: Eukaryota; Viridiplantae; Streptophyta; Magnoliopsida; Poales; Poaceae.
AUGGAGAACCACCGCGACGACGGUUUCACUUCCGGCGCUGCUUCCCUCCAGGGGAUUAGGGGGCUCGCCGCGGGUGAAGACCCCAUCCACGUCGAAACAAUGACCCAGACACAAACAUACCAAGUGUUAUCUGGCGAGGAGAGCGUGGAGAUGGUGAUGAGGGGGUUCAAUGGCGGCCGGUGCGACUUCCUGACCAAGCCCCCGGGCAACGACGGGAUGCACAACAUCCUCCGUCCUGUCAGGGAGCGAAGCCUCAACGCUGCCGUCAAUGCCGCCGCUGCAAACGCCGAUCCUCGCUCCAGCCGGGAUGGCACAUCGAGGAAGAGGCCAGUGGAAGUGGACCACUCCGACGUGGGGGGCUACGGUAGCAGGACCGCCAAGAAGAUCACUGCAGAGAAGCAUGCAUUACUUCACAAAGUGGCCAACAACCGGAUCAAUGGAACAGAAGGCAAUCUCGGUGGUUCAAAGAUGGAGAGUGAUGCUAUAACCUAG